UACGGGAGGCAGCAGUGGGGAAUAUUGCACAAUGGGCGAAAGCCUGAUGCAGCUAUGCCGCGUGUAUGAAGAAGGCCUUAGGGUUGUAAAGUACUUUCAUCGGGGAGGAAAAACAAAACUAAUAAUUUUAUUUCUUGACGUUACCCGAAAAAGAAGCACCGGCUAACUCCGUGCCAGCAGCCGCGGUAAUACGGAGGGUGCUAGCGUUAAUCAGAAUUACUGGGCGUAAAAGAGCACGUAGGUGGUUUUUUUAAAGUCAGAUGUGAAAUCCCUGGGCUUAACCUAGGAACUGCAUUUUGAAACUGAAAUACUAGAGCAUCGUAGAGGGAGGUAGAAUUCUAGGUGUAGCGGUGAAAUGCGUAGAUAUCUGGAGGAAUACCUGUGGCGAAAGCGGCCUCCUAAACGAAUACUGACACUGAGGUGCGAAAGCGUGGGGAGCAAAACAGGGAUUAGAUACC
This 458-nucleotide ribosomal RNA is filed under the name uncultured bacterium. RNAcentral's name for it is "bacterial SSU rRNA". It matches the Rfam family "Bacterial small subunit ribosomal RNA", at positions 340 to 786 of the family's 1533-position model. The record is from RNAcentral.